This 253-nucleotide ribosomal RNA is filed under the name uncultured bacterium. Its description in RNAcentral is "partial 16S ribosomal RNA". It matches the Rfam family "Bacterial small subunit ribosomal RNA", at positions 524 to 776 of the family's 1533-position model. The record is from RNAcentral.
UACGUAGGGUGCGAGCGUUAAUCGGAAUUACUGGGCGUAAAGCGUGCGCAGGCGGUUUUGUAAGCCAGAUGUGAAAUCCCCGGGCUUAACCUGGGAAUGGCAUUUGGGACUGCAAGGCUUGAGUGCGGCAGAGGAGACUGGAAUUCCUGGUGUAGCAGUGAAAUGCGUAGAUAUCAGGAGGAACACCGAUGGCGAAGGCAGGUCUCUGGGCUAUAACUGACGCUCAUGCACGAAAGCGUGGGGAGCAAACAGG